AGCAGAACAGGGAGUCUUGCACUGCAGCAGUCUUGCAAGAAGCAGGUUUUUAUAUAUAGAGAGAAAGAAAGAUGGAUGGAUGAGAACAUAUAAAAGCAGGAAGAAAAUUAUGAUUGCAAGAGCACGAACGAUGAAAUGUAAAGAAACUGGCUGGAUUCUCAUUUCAGUUAUACUGGGGUAGGUCAAGUAUCAGGGGUAGCCGUGUAAGUCUGCAUCCACAAAAACAACAAGGAGUCUGGUGGCAUCUUAAAGACUGGGGUAAGUGAUGUAACUGAGAUCAAAUUCUUGUCCAACAUACUUAUCUCACAUUAGGACUAAUAACAUUUCUGAGCUAAAAACAUAGUGGACCAAACUUCCAAAAAGCACAGUCUAAAUUUUUAUCCACAAAUUCUGCAUGUAUACAUUUUUUUGCAUUGUAACUGCAUUUGUCAACAUGUGUUAGUUAUGUAUAUGUAAAAUGUAUUUCCAUGUUCAAGCAGGAUAUAUAAUGGUCUGAGCUACAUGCACAAAAUCAAUUUGCACAUGCUUUUUUAAAAAAUAUUAUACACUAUUAAUUUUUAAACAGUUACUGCAAGAAACUAAAUUUUGUUUCAUACAAGAUAACACUACACAUGGAGAAGAAAAAAAAUCAAAGAAUGCAAAUAUUACAGCAAUUUGUAAAACUGAAGGCCUGAUUCUCCAUUUAAUUACACCAUGUUUAUACCAGGAUGUGUCUACUGAAUUCAGUGGUGUUAUUAUGGCAUAAAUAUGAUGUGAUACAGUACAGAAUCAGAGCCUAGCAUCCUUACGCUUACCUUUCUGCCAUCAAACUUGCAGAGGUAGGCAAUAAUAAAAGCAAGAAAGCUUUGCACCAUGGGCUGAAGCAGGCAGCUCAACUACCAGCUGACUCCCCAAUAGCUGAUCAUUGCAAGAUUUCCCUGAACUAAAUAUGAAAUAAAAGAAUAGCUAUGUAUAAGCAGCAUUCAAAGACACUGAUUCUGCGCUAUGCAGAUCCUGACAGUACCUUGCCAGCAGAUAAUUCCCUGGUGGAGGGGAACUACUAGCUGAGGUAGAGCCCUUGGAACUGGCUUCUGCCAUGGCUACCCUUGCCAUCCGAGUGUAGCUCUGCAUGGUGAAUCUCCACUCCUGGUAUAAGAUGCCUUAGGGAUCAUAUGCCAUUGACAUAAAGUAGAGGAGCUCCUAAGAUGCUCUACUUCACGCUGGCACAGAAUCAGGAAGUCAUAACUGGCACACACAUAAGCCUCUACUUAUUUCCCUCCUGUGCUGAGUGUAGCUCAGCUGCAGAGGAGAAUUUGAGCCCUGUGCCUUUAUAAUAUUGAAAAAUGCUAAAUGAAUUGCUGGGCUGAUGGUUUGCAGCUGGGAAAAUUCCUGGGUCAUAGAUGACAUCAUUCUUCCAUAGGAUGUACUCAUCACAAAGAAAGGAGAAACACUAAAUCUUUGCUUCGGCAGAACUAGAAAAAAAGGACAUAUAAAUGGACAAAGACAAUAUGGCAGACUUUGUUUUUCCAUUUCCAAAGUAUUACAAACAAUUGAAUGGGGAGAAAAGUGCAUAUUUGAUAGUGUACCCCUUUAGCUAUUGAUAUAAAUAGUUUUAUUCAGUUCUACUUUCUCUCCACUUACUAAUAAAUAUUUAGAUUUUAUUGUUAAAAAUACAAUACAGCCAUAAGGAACCAGGAGGGGGGAAAAGCUGCAAGGUGAAUAUUACAAUAAAAGGAAAGAUUGUUCUGUGGAAUUAAUAUAAAAAAAUCAUUGGUAAAUAGAAAGAUUUUACUGUCCUUCCAAAUUUGUGCUUGAGGUGAACAUUUCCUCACUCAUAAUAAAAGUGGUGUGGAGCUUCAAUAGUGCUCCAGUUUCCAAUAUUUUAAAAUUAUUUUAAAAGGUUGCUUGAUAAUCAUAAAGCAAUAGUUCUCAGUGAUCAGUGUGGUGUCACAAUUUUUUUUCAUGAAUACUCAAAAGGGCACUGAUGUAAUCUAUUAGAGUUAAAAAGAGAGAGGCAGGAAGGCCGCCAUCUUCAGUGGAAAAAAGGCACAUAAGUUUAACAUCUGGUGGUGGCAGUCUGUCAAUCUGAGGAAAGUUAAUGUCAAGAACAGACGCUCUGCCAUUUCUCACUGUUAUUUUUGCAUGAUUAUUCCCAGGUGCUGGUACAUAUUGAGCAGUAGCCUUGUUAUUUAUCACACAAGAGAUUCCAAGAGGCGGGAGGAGUUGAAACACAGGAAGGUUAUUAACAUAGGUCGUAGCUCUUAAUGUACAUAAUCAAAGGGCUUAAAAAUGUACAGAAAUAUUACAGCAAUAUUUUCUACAUUCACUUUAUUUCAAGGGCUUUUGAGAGCUGAUUAAUAAUGAAGGCUACAAAACUGGAGUGUUGUUUGUGGCCGCUUUCCAUUGCGGAAAGUUUGAUUGUAUCAAGCAGUGGUGGUUCUCAGGACUAGAAAGCUGACUGCAAAUGAAGAAUGUCUGCCAAUGAAGGGAUAGUAAGUGUUCCAGUGAGCACAUCUCCAUCUGAAGACGACAAAAAGACAUUUUGGUGGUUGCACUAUGAAUGCAUUGGUGACUGUAUUUGGGUGGGAGAGUUUUAAGAGAGAAGAAAUGUCAUCUUAAGUGGAGGUUCUUAAUGUAUGUAGAUUUCCUUCAAUUUCUCAUUGGUUUUAUUUUAGAUACUGAAAUUAAGCUCUGUGCAUGACAGACAGUCUUUCUGAUGCAGUCACUAAUCUCCAGAAGUACAGUCUUGGAGCUUUAAAAUUCUGCCUCUCCUACAGGGUGGAUUCCAUUGAACAACACUGAGUUUCUGUAAAACAAGAUAAGGCCUUCUGUCCUGUAGGAAGGAAGUAUGUUUCCAAGGGCCUCACUACACCUGUGGAAAACCAUGCUGAUGAAAAAAAUAAUCUGUACACAAGCCUAUGGAUCCUGGGGUUGUGGUGAUCAAAAAGUGAUUUAGAAUUUUGUUCUAAUGAAAAUGUUCUGACCUUUUCAGAGACUGUAAAUAGAUUACUUUAAAUUAUUAAAUAUUAUUACAUAUGUCUUUGCUGUUAC
Long non-coding RNA from Dermochelys coriacea (leatherback sea turtle), 3030 nucleotides. RefSeq lists it as uncharacterized. The transcript has 3 exons. The record is from RefSeq and is a predicted model, not a curated record. Lineage: Eukaryota; Metazoa; Chordata; Testudines; Dermochelyidae.